GGAUCCGUAGCUCAGUCUGGUUAGAGCACGCGGCUCAUAACCGUGAGGUCACUGGUUCGAUCCCAGUCGGAUCCACCA
Molecule: transfer RNA, 78 nt
Rfam family: tRNA
About the family: Transfer RNA (tRNA) molecules are approximately 80 nucleotides in length. Their secondary structure includes four short double-helical elements and three loops (D, anti-codon, and T loops).